This 129-nucleotide small RNA is filed under the name uncultured Fragilariaceae. RNAcentral's name for it is "partial transfer-messenger RNA". The record is from RNAcentral. Lineage: Eukaryota; Bacillariophyta; Fragilariophyceae; Fragilariales; Fragilariaceae.
UAUCGAGAAUUGUUCUUUUCUCAAACAAAAGGCUAAUAAAUCAAUAAACGAUAACAAUCACACCCGAUUGUGCUAUUCUGUAGCUGGUCCCGAAAGUAGCUUGGACGGGUACAAGUUCUCAUACGGUGU